This 521-nucleotide ribosomal RNA is filed under the name uncultured fungus. Its description in RNAcentral is "eukaryotic LSU rRNA". The stretch from base 170 to 323 matches the Rfam family "5.8S ribosomal RNA". The record is from RNAcentral. Lineage: Eukaryota; Fungi.
UCCGUAGGUGAACCUGCGGAAGGAUCAUUACCGUGGGGAUUCGUCCCCAUUGAGAUAGCACCCCCUGUUUACGAGUACCGUCCGUUUCCUCGGCGGGUUCGCGCGCCGCCAGGGACCUCCUAGAAACCUCUUGCAGUAGCAGUACCGUCGGCAGAAAACCCAAUAUCAAAACUUUCAACAACGGAUCUCUUGGUUCUGGCAUCGAUGAAGAACGCAGCGAAAUGCGAUAAGUAGUGUGAAUUGCAGAAUUCAGUGAAUCAUCGAAUCUUUGAACGCACAUUGCGCCCUUCGGUAUUCCGUCGGGCAUGCCUGUUCGAGCGUCGAAAUAACCUUCAAGCUCCGCUUGGCCUUGGGCGCCUGUUCGCGCCUCCGUGCGUGCGACUCGCCUCAAAUCCAUUGGCAGCCGGCGGGUCGGCUUCGCGCGCAGCACAUACGCGCGGCGAUGCCAGCCCGUCGCCUCCCCCACAAAGACGCAUUAUCAGUCUGACCUCGGAUCAGGUAGGGAUACCCGCUGAACUUAA